Molecule: ribosomal RNA, 318 nt
Filed under: uncultured bacterium
Lineage: Bacteria
Description: bacterial SSU rRNA
Rfam family: Bacterial small subunit ribosomal RNA
Source: RNAcentral
AAUCAACGCUGGCGGCGUGCCUAACACAUGCAAGUCGAACGAGAAAGUGGAGCAAUCCAUGAGUAAAGUGGCGCACGGGUGAGUAACACGUGACUAACCUACCCUUGAGUGGGGGAUAACCUCGGGAAACCGGGGCUAAUACCGCAUAAUACCGAGAGGUCAAAGGAGCAAUUCGCUUAAGGAGGGGGUCGCGGCUGAUUAGCUAGUUGGUGAGGUAAUGGCUCACCAAGGCGAUGAUCAGUAUCCGGCCUGAGAGGGCGCACGGACACACUGGAACUGAAACACGGUCCAGACUCCUACGGGAGGCAGCAGGUGGGG